This 253-nucleotide ribosomal RNA is filed under the name uncultured bacterium. RNAcentral describes it as "partial 16S ribosomal RNA". It matches the Rfam family "Bacterial small subunit ribosomal RNA", at positions 524 to 776 of the family's 1533-position model. The record is from RNAcentral.
UACGUAGGCAGCGAGCGUUGUUCGGAGUUACUGGGCGUAAAGGGUGUGUAGGCGGUUUUCUAAGUUUGGUGUGAAAUCUCCCGGCUCAACCGGGAGGGUGCGCCGAAAACUGGGAGACUAGAGUGCGGGAUGGGAGAGUAGAAUUCCUGGUGUAGCGGUGAAAUGCGUAGAUAUCAGGAGGAAUACCGGGGGGGUAGACGGCUCUCUGGACCGCCACUGACGCUGAGACACGAAAGCGUGGGUAGCAAACAGG